AUCCCAUGACAAGGACACUUAUGAAGUAACCCCUUGAAUCGCUCCCAAGCCUCAUACAAAGACUAUUUAUCCAAUUAUUGGAAAGUUGUGAUCUCGUUCCUCAACUU
Molecule: non-coding RNA, 107 nt
Organism: Gossypium arboreum
Lineage: Eukaryota; Viridiplantae; Streptophyta; Magnoliopsida; Malvales; Malvaceae
Source: Rfam